RNAcentral lists this long non-coding RNA (307 nucleotides) under Phoenix dactylifera (date palm). Its description in RNAcentral is "long non-coding RNA (PDAC_LNC010581)". Lineage: Eukaryota; Viridiplantae; Streptophyta; Magnoliopsida; Arecales; Arecaceae. The record is from RNAcentral.
UUUCCUCUAUUUCUCUAGGGACCACACCAACACGACUGUACACCCCUUGAUCAUGAAGAUAGAUAACUAUCAAACAGAAUACGAUAGAUCACAUCGAGUUGCAUGCCCUACGUGUUAUGCUGCCUUUGGAUGUUUGACAACCAUUCCUCUUCUUGAUCAAAUGAUGUGGUGGCCGUCGAUAAGCAUGCAGCUCUAUGCGGUGUAAAACAUACACCAUAGCAUAUCCCGGCUCUCAAAAAGUGGCCUUUAAAUGAUUUUCUUUCUUCCUUUUACUCAAAUAAAAAUAUGUUAUUCUGUCAUAUUUUUA